UGGGCUGUAGUUCAUGUUAUGGACUUAUUUACAUUAACCUGACUUAAUUCUUUUACUUUAGUUAUGACAACUUGCUUUCAUGAGUUCAAUUAACUUAACAAUCACGCAUUUUAUCUCAAACGAACUUUUUAAUUUGAGUCGAAGUGAAACAAUUAAGUUUAAUGCAGCUUUACGUCUGACGUCAUUACGUAAGCUCCGCCCGGGGCAAAUCCUGCAUCUCUGGUACCGACCGCCAUUUCUUCUGAGCAUUGACUGUCGACGAGAUUCAGAUAAAACAGUAAGUAUGCUGCCCCACCAUAACCAAACAUUAAAUAAACGGUGUAAAAAUAUUUAAAACUUUUUCUAACUUAAAUUUGAAACAUUGAACUGUGUUUAACGUCGAAGUGUCAUCAGUUAUUUGCUCUUAACACAUUUGCUAAUUGUAAUUAGCCGCGCUGUUCGGCGGUUCAAAUCUCAACAUGUUUUAACAUAACUACUCUGAGUCAGACUGAAUGUUUAUUUUGUAUGUGUACUUUUACGCUAAAAAACCUAACUUGAAAUUACAGAGGUGGGGGUGUUCUGUGCAAAACUAAUUUAAUGUGAUGCAACUCCACUGUGCUAAUCACUGUUAGCUGCAGCCGGUGAAGCCAUUUUUUCCAGUUUUCUCAUGCUGCUUACUGGCGACAUAAUAUAAAACGCAUAAUAUCCUGACAGCGCUAAGAAUCCAUCAGGUGUCAUUUCUCUUAAAAAAGCAAAUUGUGUCUGUAGGAACAUUGCGGAGUGUUCUAGCUAGCCGUUGAUCCCCAGGCACUGGGCCGGGCUGAGACGCCCUCGGGCUGGGCUGAGGAUUUCACAGCUUCACUUUCGGAGCUCUGCAUUUAGUAGCCUGCCCCACAGACUCCGCCCCGGCUAGAUCGCUUCUUGCCCUGUAUUAUUUCUCUGCAAUUUGCAAUCUACCACAGCGCACGGACAGUUCACAAUGUGCAUGUUUGAUCUCCCUAUGGUCGUCCGCGCCCUUGAUUUCACCGGCUACAGAAAUCGAAAUGACAACCGGCAUGAACGCGAGGAAAAGAAAGAAGAAAAAUUAAGAUCAAAUGAAAAUUUCAGGCAUUAGCAUUUCUGGCUAGAACCCUGUUGUAUUAACUUCUUUUACCCACUUCUCUUUCCAGGCCUAGAACCAAGAAUCAUCAAACCACAUAAGUGUUGCACUUAAUGUGGAGAUGCAAAGACUGCAAGAGGGUGUUUUCCAGAAGAUCUGAAUUGCUCAAGCACUACAAACUAGACCACAGGCAUUAUGGACGGGGUUAUUCGUAUCCAUGCUCAUAUUUAAGUUGUGCAUGUAGAUUCAAGACCUGGAAUGCUUUACUGAGCCAUUUAUCAAGAAAUCAUCCAGUCAAACAAACAGUUACCAAAGACUUAACCAGAUUCAAAUGCCCCAUUUGUGAUUUUAAUCAACUUUCCACUGAGAGAGAUUUUUUUCAACAUAUAUUUCAACAUCUCAAGAACAAGGAAACUGUCACGUGUGUGUUUCAGGACUGUGUUUAUCAAACAAAUAUUUACGAGAACUACAAAAGUCAUAAAUACAGAAAACAUUCUGACAUUAGCAAUACAUUUAAGACUGGGAUUACUGAAAAAAAACAAUUAGACUGUGGUGAAGAAUUGUGUGUUAGUUCUGGUACUGAUAUUUUUGAUCAAGACAGUACUGCACAAGCUAAUCAAGAUCACACAUUUAAUGAGACUGAUUCUGAAAACUUACAGAGAGAUAUUGAACUUAAACUUGCAUCAGUUCUUCUAAAGUUAGAAAGCAGUUUUCUUGUGUCAAAUGCAGCUAUUGAUGAACUAUUGCAGGAGUUAAACUAUUUAAUUGGUUCUUUGUCCCUGCCAGUUACAUGCAGAACUGUAACCCAAAUACUACAUGAUCACCUUUGCCAGUUUGACCAGUCAGUUAUUGAAAAACUUGCCAGGGCCCUCUGUGAAACAAACCCUGUAAACAAAGCAAUAGGAGAUAAAGGCUCCCUUUCUAGUGCUUGGAGACGAAAACAAUUCUAUAAAAGACAUUUUAAAGUGGUAGAACCUGAAGAAUAUAUUCUUGAUAAAAAAAAUAAUAAGUCAUUCCAGUAUGUAUCAAUCCUAAAGUCUUUGCAGCAAGUUCUUGACUGUGAGGUUAUCUUGGAUCAGACUGAUAAUUUAAAUUGUGUGAAUAAACUACUACAAAGAAGUAGUGUUCAUACAUAUAGGUCUUUCUAUGACGGGUCAUUUUUUAGUGAAAAUGAGCUUUUGUGUAAGGAGGAGAGCAUUUCAUUGAUAUUGUAUAUUGAUGAUUUUGAAAUAUGCAACCCUCUCGGUACAUCUAAACGGAAGCAUAAAAUUUGUGGCUUAUACUGGAUUCUUGGUAAUUUGCCACAGGGGUGUAAUUCUAACUUGUCUUCCAUUUACCUGGCUGCUUUAAUCAAAACUAAUGAUUUGAAGUGCUAUGGUUACGAGAAGGUUUUAGAACCUUUACUUAAUGAGCUUGUGAUUUUGGAACAAGAAGGGGUCUUUGUGUCAAAGUUGGGUAGAGCUGUAAAAGGCACAGUUCAGUGCGUGGUUGCAGAUAAUCUUGCUGCCCACAGUCUUGGUGGCUUUGUAGAGAACUUCACAGGGUCAUACAUAUGUAGGUUUUGUUUGGCAGUUAAAACAGACAUUCAAACUACAGAGGUUAGAAGUGGUGCAUUUACCCUGAGAACGAAAAGCAUUCAUGCAGAUCACUUAAAAAUUCUUCAGGAACGUGAAUUUCCAAGUUAUCAGGGUGUCAAAUCAACUUCCAUUUUAUCACAUUUAUUGUAUUUUGACAUUACCACAGGUCUUCCUCCAGACAUUGUGCAUGACCUUUUUGAAGGAGUUGUUCCUUUUGAAUUAGCUUUGUGUCUGGGUGUUUUGAUUAAGAAAAAAUAUUUCACAUUGGUAUCACUGAAUGACGCAAUAGCAUCUUUCAAUUUUAAGGGGACUGAUAAAACUAAUCGACCUCAUCCAAUUGCUCUCAAUUUUGAAGCCAAAAAAAGUGUUGGGGGUAAUGCACAUGAGAAUUGGAGUUUGAUCAGAUUUUUACCUUUGUUGAUUGGACACAGAGUGCAACAUGAAGAGCCAGCUUGGCAGAUCUUAACAGACUUAAGGGACAUUGUUGAUCUUGUGGUCUGUCCUAUUCACACAGAGGACUCUAUUGCUUACCUUGACUUUAAGAUCUCAGAGCACAGAACACAAUUCCAGGAGGUUUUUCCUAAUUGUGACCUUAAACCAAAACACCAUUUCUUGGAACAUUACCCGCACUUGAUUCGCCAAUUUGGUCCUUUAGUAGCCUUAUGGUCCAUGCGCUUUGAAGCUAAGCAUAGCUUUUUUAAAAGAGUUGCACGAAAUAUCAAGUGCUUUAAAAAUGUCCUCUGUUCCCUUGCAGAGAGACACCAGUAUCAGAUGGCACAUCAUUUGCAUUUAUCUGGUUUUCCUAAACCUCUUUUGGAAGUUACAAAUGUUUCCACAGUAACAACUGAUGUUCUCGACAAGGGAAUAGUAAAUGCUCUAAAACAGAAGUUUUCAAAUCUGGCCACAGUGUGCAUGACUAAAAGUGCAACAUUUAAUGGACUGAAGUACAGAUGCGGGAUGAUCUUGAUCCAUGGCUCAUUAGGAGGAUUACCAGAGUUCAUUGAAAUAAUCCAAAUGGUGAUCCUGGCAAACCAGUUAUUCUUUCUGGUCAGAAAACUUGAGGGGUGGUAUGUUGAGCAUUACAGAUCUUAUGAGCUGAAAACAUCAGACAAAGAACUGAAACUGGUUGAGCUACAAGACCUAACAGAUGUAUACCCGCUGGAAGACUACAGAAUUAGAGGAAUACGUCUUGUUACUGUGAAAAGAUAUAUUCACGUUUAAGGAUUGUCAUGGCAAGUUCAAAACCUGCAAGACUGAAGGUGAUUCUAGGAGAGAGCAACACUGAAAAACUGACUCUUCCAGAUGGCAUACCAGACUCUCUGGAUGAGCUUCUCAGCAAGGUGAAGGAUACCUUUGGUUUAAAGACCAAUGUCAGAUUGCAAUAUAUGGACAAAGACUUUGGUAAUGACUUCUUCAACCUCAGCUCAACUUCUGACCUGGAGGACUUGGGAACAGUCAAGGUGAUUCAAGAAAAAGCCAUUCAAACUUUUGUUGAUGUCAUUGAAACAGCUCCAUCUUGUUCUACAGUUCACUCUGACGACAGCAGUUCUUUAGCCUCAAAUGACACUAUAAUCCUCUCCUCCCCUGAACCCUUGUCAUCGCGAACACAACAAUGGCCAGCCAACUUUCCCAUUCCCAUAUUUUCAUAUGACACUGAACGUCAGCUAGAGAAGGGGAAUUCUGAGUAUCAAGCAAACAACAAAAUGUUGACAGUCACCUCCCGAAUGAAGACUGACAUCCUAAAUAGAUUAGUAGAAGAGAUCUACAGAUACAGAGCCUACCCAGAGGAUGCACAGUUCUGUGUAGUUGCAGAGGCCUUGGUUAAAAAACAUCCGUGUUUAAAAGAGCCCGGUUCAUUCAAUGGUUGCUACGGUUGGAAGCAAAGGCUGAAGUACAAAAUGGGAAACUACAGGACUCUACUCAAAUCACAAGGAUGUCCAGAGUUGUCUGUAAACUCUCUUAAAUCCAAAGCUAGUAUUUCUGUUUCUCCUGCUGCAAAAAUAAAGAAGCCAAGACGAGCUGAAGCCAACUUUUAUCCAUCCUUUCCAUUGGGAGAAACACAAGAAAGCAUGGAAAAAGAGAGAAUUGAACUCUUGGCAGCACUCAAAAGGAGGAACAAUGACAGGGUCAUUGCGGAGAAAAUGGCUCGUACCUUUGCCUACAGGCGUCAGGAGGUGGUGAAUGAAGAACCUGGUAUAGAGGAUUUCAAGGACAGAUGGCCUGCUCUGUUCCAACAGAAAGAGAUUAAUGCGGAGUUCCAGAGGCUCAUGGCUCUUCCCCUUGAGCAGACGUUCUUGGCCCAGUUGGACAGGCACUCAAGUCAGCUGAUUAAAGUCAUCCAGGCCAAAGGAGGAGCAACACGUGCAAAAAUGGCUGGCAUCAUGAGAACUUAUGAUGAGGUUGAAGACAUUGGGAUUCGAAGGGAAUGUGUUCUGAAAGGGCUCGUCACCUUUCUUGGAGAGGAUGCAAAAGACCUUAUUAAGGAAUACUGUGGCAGCAGCGGAGAUGAUGCCCAGAUGGAACUCAAACAACUCACCAUGGCAGUGUUUGUGAUUCGGAAGGAGGGAGAGGGAUUGAAAGAACCCCCAGAAGACAUUGGCAUCGUCAUUGAGGGAGUGGAGGUGUUGCAGGACCUGACUUCAGUUGCCUCAGCAUGUGCCCUGCUUCUGGGUUUGAUAUAUUCCCUUAACUUGGCUUAUCCAAAGGCUCUGCGCUUCACAUUUGAAGUGUUCCAAAAAAUCUUCAUGCAGCUUGAGCAGCACAAGAUGUCUCCCAAAGUUCAAAAUUUGUUUGGAAGACUUCAGACCUCACAGUAAAGACACUGGCAUGUUGUGCAACAGGACAGAAGAUCUUCAGUCUUCUUUGUUUGGACAGAAGAACGCCAUGUUUUGGAAGCUUAACACCUCAAGGAACUGCACUUUGUGAACUUCUUUUGGGACAUUGUUCAUAUUAAAGCCACAAGUAAUACAGAGUUUACUGGAUAACAAUUGACCGGUAUUUCUGGAGGAUGUUUACUGAUGAGGUUGUGAUGAACAUUAUCAUUUUGGGAGUAGGUCUUUUUUGUUUUUGACAUUUCAUAAAGUUACAUGGUUCAUCUCUUUGGUUUUGUGUGGGGAAAAAAUACAAGUUAAGGGGGAAAAAUUAAAGUAGGAAAGUAGUAGGCUGCUGCAGUUUGUGGACAUUUUCACAGAAUUUUCUUUUUGCAUUUUUUUUUAAAAUUUGAAUCAACAGAUUUGUUCAGUGUUUUUUGAAGGAGGUUGAAUGGAUCUAGAUCAUAAUGUUUACUAUUCUGUUCUUUUCUGGUGUCAGUUAAAUUAACGGACUUGGUUUAAACUAGGCAGCUAUUACACCACAUCUUUGUUUGAAAACUUGCCUAAAUAUUUUUUGGGUAUUGCUCUUGUUUUCAGUGUAAAAAUAGUCACUAGUGUCAUCAUAUUUUAUGUCAAAAACAUGUUCUCAGCAAAUGUUACGGUUUAAGAGUGUGGAUUUUCUUUUUUAGGAGGACUUGUGUUAAAUCUAAAAAAGCAAAAAAUUUUUCCUGAGGAAUACUUGUGUAUUCUACAACCUCACACAGGGGUGUCCAAGUCUUGUCCAGGAGAGCUACCAUUGUGCAACUUUCAGAUGGACCCUAUUUCAAUACCACCUGAAGCUAAUUUCUGAAUUUACACACCAGCAGACAUUCAGCUCAGCAGAGGCGUUGUAAUGAGCAGUUCAUUUGAUUCAGAUGUAUUGGAGAUGGGAUGCAUCUGAAAGUUGCAAGAUGAUGGCUCUCCAGAACUGGACUUGGGCACCUCUGAUCUAGCAGGUCGCUGAAAUGUAAUAUCCCUUAUGAAGUUUCAAAAGAUUUGUGUAGCAUGUUUAAUGCAUAAUAUUUUGUGAAAAACCUGUAAGUUU
This is an RNA transcript of Xiphophorus maculatus (southern platyfish), 6549 nucleotides long. RefSeq lists it as uncharacterized. The record is from RefSeq and is a predicted model, not a curated record. The transcript is spliced from 6 exons. NCBI's taxonomy places the organism in Eukaryota, Metazoa, Chordata, Actinopteri, Cyprinodontiformes, Poeciliidae.